CAGCCGCCACGGUAAUACGGAGGGAGCUAGCGUUGUUCGGAAUUACUGGGCGUAAAGCGCGCGUAGGCGGUUACUCAAGUCAGAGGUGAAAGCCCGGGGCUCAACCCCGGAACUGCCUUUGAAACUAGGUAACUAGAAUCUUGGAGAGGUCAGUGGAAUUCCGAGUGUAGAGGUGAAAUUCGUAGAUAUUCGGAAGAACACCAGUGGCGAAGGCGACUGACUGGACAAGUAUUGACGCUGAGGUGCGAAAGCGUGGGGAGCAAACAGGAUUAGAUACCCCAGUAGUCCCUGUCUCUUAUAC
This 301-nucleotide ribosomal RNA is filed under the name uncultured bacterium. RNAcentral's name for it is "partial 16S ribosomal RNA". It matches the Rfam family "Bacterial small subunit ribosomal RNA", at positions 509 to 807 of the family's 1533-position model. The record is from RNAcentral.